UAGGGAAUCUUCGGCAAUGGGGGGAACCCUGACCGAGCAACGCCGCGUGAGUGAAGAAGGUUUUCGGAUCGUAAAGCUCUGUUGUUAAGGAAGAACGAGUGUGAGAAUGGAAAGUUCAUACUGUGACGGUACUUAACCAGAAAGGGACGGCUAAAUUACUGGNNAGCANCCGCGGUAAUACGUAGGUCCCGAGCGUUGUCCGGAUUUAUUGGGCGUAAAGCGAGCGCAGGCGGUUAGAUAAGUCUGAAGUUAAAGGCAGUGGCUCAACCAUUGUAGGCUUUGGAAACUGUUUAACUUGAGUGCAGAAGGGGAGAGUGGAAUUCCAUGUGUAGCGGUGAAAUGCGUAGAUAUAUGGAGGAACACCGGUGGCGAAAGCGGCUCUCUGGUCUGUAACUGGCGCUGAGGCUCGAAAGCGUGGGGAGCGAACAGGAUUAGAUACCCUGGUAGUCCACGCCGUANCGAUGAGUGCUANGUGUUAGGUCCUUUCCGGGACUUNNGNANNNUNCNCAUUAAGCACUCCGCCUGGNGGAGUACGACCGCAAGGUUGA
This 548-nucleotide ribosomal RNA is filed under the name uncultured bacterium. Its description in RNAcentral is "partial 16S rRNA". It matches the Rfam family "Bacterial small subunit ribosomal RNA", at positions 355 to 897 of the family's 1533-position model. The record is from RNAcentral.